UACGUAGGGGGCGAGCGUUAUCCGGAUUUAUUGGGCGUAAAGGGUACGCAGGCGGCUAAAUAAGUCAGGUGUGAAAGUCAGUGGCUCAACCACUGUAAGCACUUGAAACUGUAUAGCUUGAGUACUGGAGAGGAAAGUGGAAUUCCUAGUGUAGCGGUGAAAUGCGUAGAUAUUAGGAGGAACACCAGUGGCGAAGGCGACUUUCUGGACAGAUACUGACGCUGAGGUACGAAAGCGUGGGGAGCAAACAGG
This 252-nucleotide ribosomal RNA is filed under the name uncultured bacterium. RNAcentral describes it as "partial 16S ribosomal RNA". It matches the Rfam family "Bacterial small subunit ribosomal RNA", at positions 524 to 776 of the family's 1533-position model. The record is from RNAcentral.